CAAGGGAAGGAACAAACUCGUUACUUGAAGACUUACCGUAUUACCGUGAUUACUUCCCUUUAGUCACACGGCGACAAUCUGUUCGACACAUUGUGUUACGACGCGGUGGAAUCAGGCGCUCGUCAAUUUUUGGAUCAAGCAAUGUUAACGAGACAGUACAGCUUGGGCCAGACUGCUAAUCUGACCAAUCCCGUGACAAAAAACAGACAACCUAAAUCAGCUUUGUAUCGUUUUCCUUUAAGUAGCUCUAUAUAAAUUAUCUAGAUCAUAUAUAGAUCUAGAUCUUGACUAGGAGGGAGAUAAGCACUGAAUUAAUCUAGAUAGAUCUAAACCAAAGAAACAUAUCUCCAGAUGCGAGGAUGCCUAUCUAGAAACUCUUUGGCACUACUGCUUGAACACAAAUGGCAGACUUCAUUACAAAGUGAAGAGAUUUGCACAAGUUCACCAAAACAAGCAGAGGAAGGCAGGAAUAUUUCAACAUUUGUCAAACAAAGCACAUUGGAUUUGGAAGUACACUUGCAUCAGGAAAUAGAUUUGGAGUCAUCCUCCGGUCUCCUGCGUGCCACAGCGAAACACCUAACCGCUACACCACAGACGCCAGUUCUCCUAUCUCAAGCCACUGAAACUACUGUACAUCAUCAUGAGCUACAAUACCUCAAAACUGAAAA
Aplysia californica (California sea hare) is the source of this 668-nucleotide long non-coding RNA. RefSeq lists it as uncharacterized. The record is from RefSeq and is a predicted model, not a curated record. NCBI's taxonomy places the organism in Eukaryota, Metazoa, Mollusca, Gastropoda, Aplysiida, Aplysiidae. The transcript is spliced from 2 exons.